GACGAACGCUGGCGGCGUGCUUAACACAUGCAAGUCGAACGGAAAGGCCCUGCUUUUGUGGGGUGCUCGAGUGGCGAACGGGUGAGUAACACGUGAGUAACCUGCCCUGGACUUUGGGAUAACUUCAGGAAACUGGGGCUAAUACCGGAUAGGAGCUCCUGCUGCAUGGUGGGGGUUGGAAAGUUUCGGCGGUUGGGGAUGGACUCGCGGCUUAUCAGCUUGUUGGUGGGGUAGUGGCUUACCAAGGCUUUGACGGGUAGCCGGCCUGAGAGGGUGACCGGCCACAUUGGGACUGCGAUACGGCCCAGACUCCUACGGGAGGCAGCAGUGGGGAAUAUUGCCCAAUGGGCGGAAGCCUGAUGCAGCAACGCCGCGUGCGGGAUGUCGGCCUUCGGGUUGUAAACCGCUUUCGCCUGUGACGAAGCGUGAGUGACGGUAAUGUGUAAAGAAGCACCGGCUAACUGCGUG
RNAcentral lists this ribosomal RNA (468 nucleotides) under uncultured bacterium. RNAcentral's name for it is "partial 16S ribosomal RNA". It matches the Rfam family "Bacterial small subunit ribosomal RNA", at positions 28 to 507 of the family's 1533-position model. The record is from RNAcentral.